Molecule: transfer RNA, 74 nt
Filed under: Verrucomicrobiota bacterium
Lineage: Bacteria; Pseudomonadati; Verrucomicrobiota
Also listed under: 1 other name
Description: Verrucomicrobia bacterium (gut metagenome) tRNA-Gly
Rfam family: tRNA
About the family: Transfer RNA (tRNA) molecules are approximately 80 nucleotides in length.
Source: RNAcentral
GCGGGUGUUGUUCAAUGGUAGAAUGCGAGCUUCCCAAGCUUGAGACGCGGGUCCGAUUCCCGUCACCCGCUCCA